Molecule: small nucleolar RNA, 50 nt
Filed under: Pyrobaculum neutrophilum V24Sta
Lineage: Archaea; Thermoproteati; Thermoproteota; Thermoprotei; Thermoproteales; Thermoproteaceae
Description: PNEsR127
Source: RNAcentral
GUGAAGGCGGCCGUCGCUGCUGACGGGUGAUGACUAAGCCACAGCCUCGA